CACAUAAUUCUGAUGUUUUGAUUUGAAAUAAUCAAUACUAAAACAUUUUGCCCCAACUCAUUUGAUUUGAAUGUUACUGAUUUUUCAGAAGGCACAGCCUCAACCAUUCUGGCAAUGUGCUUGGUUUAUUUUCAGAUUUGCGAGGUGACCAGUUUCCAGACAUUGGUUCGCUCCUGCUUGUGUACGCGAUUGGCCGAGACUAAAAAAACUGUAGUGUGCCACCUUAAGGUUUUAGUCGUUUGCUUGUAAGGCAAGAUAGUCCCUGGAGAAGAACUAAAUUACGUCAACAGCCUUGUCAGCGGAAAGACACUCCGUUGCAGUUACUGAAGAUUUGCGAGGUGACCAGUUUCCAGACAUUGGUUCGCUCCUGCUUGUGUACGCGAUUGGCCGAGACUAAAAAAACUGUAGUGUGCCACCUUAAGGUUUUAGUCGUUUGCUUGUAAGGCAAGAUAGUCCCUGGAGAAGAACUAAAUUACGUCAACAGCCUUGUCAGCGGAAAGACACUCCGUUGCAGUUACUGAAGGUUUUAGUCGUUUGCUUGUAAGGCAAGAUAGUCCCUGGAGAAGAACUAAAUUACGUCAACAGCCUUGUCAGCGGAAAGACACUCCGUUGCAGUUACUGAAGGUUUUAGUCGUUUGCUUGUAAGGCAAGAUAGUCCCUGGAGAAGAACUAAAUUACGUCAACAGCCUUGUCAGCGGAAAGACACUCCGUUGCAGUUACUGAAGAUUUGCGAGGUGACCAGUUUCCAGACAUUGGUUCGCUCCUGCUUGUGUACGCGAUUGGCCGAGACUAAAAAAACUGUAGUGUGCCACCUUAAGGUUUUAGUCGUUUGCUUGUAAGGCAAGAUAGUCCCUGGAGAAGAACUAAAUUACGUCAACAGCCUUGUCAGCGGAAAGACACUCCGUUGCAGUUACUGAAGAUUUGCGAGGUGACCAGUUUCCAGACAUUGGUUCGCUCCUGCUUGUGUACGCGAUUGGCCGAGACUAAAAA
Molecule: long non-coding RNA, 990 nt
Organism: Dreissena polymorpha
Lineage: Eukaryota; Metazoa; Mollusca; Bivalvia; Myida; Dreissenidae
Exons: 9
Source: RefSeq, a predicted model, not a curated record